GAUGAACGCUGGCGGCGUGCCUAAUACAUGCAAGUCGAGCGAACAGACGAGGAGCUUGCUCCUCUGACGUUAGCGGCGGACGGGUGAGUAACACGUGGAUAACCUACCUAUAAGACUGGGAUAACUUCGGGAAACCGGAGCUAAUACCGGAUAAUAUAUUGAACCGCAUGGUUCAAUAGUGAAAGACGGUUUUGCUGUCACUUAUAGAUGGAUCCGCGCCGCAUUAGCUAGUUGGUAAGGUAACGGCUUACCAAGGCAACGAUGCGUAGCCGACCUGAGAGGGUGAUCGGCCACACUGGAACUGAGACUCGGUCCAGACUCCUACGGGAGGCAGCAGUAGGGAAUCUUCCGCAAAGGGCGAAAGCCUGACGGAGCAACGCCGCGUGAGUGAUGAAGGUCUUCGGAUCGUAAAACUCUGUUAUUAGGGAAGAACAAAUGUGUAAGUAACUAUGCACGUCUUGACGGUACCUAAUCAGAAAGCCACGGCUAACUACGUG
Molecule: ribosomal RNA, 497 nt
Filed under: uncultured bacterium
Lineage: Bacteria
Description: partial 16S ribosomal RNA
Rfam family: Bacterial small subunit ribosomal RNA
Source: RNAcentral